UUCAUGCUGCCCGAGGACGCUGCCAUGGCUGUGGGUGAGUGGAGGGAGGGACGCCAAGCAGGGCAGGCCUCUCACCUGCCACCUGGGCCCACUGACGCCUGUCCCUGCAGCUGACGGCCUCCAACCACGUGAGCAACGUCACCGUGAACUACAACGUCACCGUGGAGCGGAUGAACAGGAUGCAGGGCCUGCGGGUCUCCACAGUGCCGGCCGUGCUGUCCCCCAAUGCCACGCUGGCACUGACGGCGGGCGUGCUGGUGGACUCGGCCGUGGAGGUGGCCUUCCUGUGGACCUUUGGGGAUGGGGAGCAGGCUCUCCACCAGUUCCAGCCUCCGUACAACGAGUCCUUCCCGGUUCCAGACCCUCGGUGGCCCAGGUGCUGGUGGAGCACAAUGUCACGCACACCUACGCUGCCCCAGGUGCUGAUCCGGAGUGGCCGGGUGCCCAUUGUGUCCUUGGAGUGUGUGUCCUGCAAGGCACAGGCCGUGUACGAAGUGAGCCGCAGCUCCUACGUGUACCUGGAGGGCCGCUGCCUCAAUUGCAGCAGUGGCUCCAAGCGAGGGCGGUGGGCUGCACGUACGUUCAGCAACAAGACGCUGGUGCUGGAUGAGACCACCACGUCCACGGGCAGCGCAGGCAUGCGACUGGUGCUGCGGCGGGGCGUGCUGCGGGACGGCGAGGGAUACACCUUCACGCUCACGGUGCUGGGCCGCUCUGGCG
This 720-nucleotide small RNA is filed under the name Pan troglodytes (chimpanzee). RNAcentral describes it as "retained intron". The record is from RNAcentral. Lineage: Eukaryota; Metazoa; Chordata; Mammalia; Primates; Hominidae.